RNAcentral lists this long non-coding RNA (4254 nucleotides) under Manihot esculenta (cassava). RNAcentral describes it as "long non-coding RNA (MESC_LNC006073)". Lineage: Eukaryota; Viridiplantae; Streptophyta; Magnoliopsida; Malpighiales; Euphorbiaceae. The record is from RNAcentral.
GGAAUGGUUUAGCAUAUCUCAUGCAUCAUGAUUAUGCCUUAGGUUGAUUGCAUUAGUAUCCACGUAUAUGUUGCAUUGCAUCAUUAUUUGUUGAUGUGGGUAAAUGCUGAAUGAUCCCAUAGUCACAGACAGGAAGUCCAGGAGCCUUUGACUACGCCCUGGCAGGUAUAGCAAGUCCAGGAGCCUUUGACUACGCCCUGGCAGGUAUAGCAAAGACCAGGAGCCUUUGACUACGCCCUGGCAAUGGUAAGUACAGAGGUGUUAUAUACACAUAUACAUAUAUGACAGGAAGACCAGGUGCUCGAUUCUACGCCCUGGCACAGAGUUACUGGGACUAUGUGGUGACAGGUUUACUCUUGAUGUGGUUUGUUUGUGUUAUGACGCAUUCCAUGAGAGCAUGUGUUACUGAAAUGUUUUACUAUUCUACUCACUGGGCUAUAGAGCUCAUCCCACUCCCUUAACCCCAGUUUUGCAGGUUCAGUGGUCAGUGUACAGGGACAGUUCAGCAGAGUACAGAAAGAGUAAAAGAGCUUGUAAUAGUAUAGAGUGGACAUGUAAAUUGUAAAGAGAUGUUAUAGUUGUGUAUAACGUUAGAGUUGUGUUUGAUUUAGUUGUAUUGUGUUGUAAAGCUUUUGUUACAUACAUGAUCUGUAUAUGUAUAUAUGUUUUAUAACCAGGCUUAACAGGUAUGAGUUAACCCAUCUAGAGCAAGCUCUAGUCAGGGGUACAGAGUACAGAGUACAGAGUACAGAGUACAGAGUACAGAGAUAGUGCAUGCACAGGUUAAGCCUUGGUUCAGCAAAGAGUUUUUAUUUUCACAGAAAAUGUAUCAUGUAUGAGUUUUACAGGUACACAGAGAGUAUUGCAGGCUUGCUACGGGUUCUGGCGGCCUUAAGCCGACCUGAAUCCUAGUGCCGGUGACGGUCCAUUUUGGGGUCGUUACACUAGCCAUUGCCCUUGGCAAUGCAGGACCUACUAGACAUUGCCCUUGGCAAUGCAGGAGGACGGGCAUCAGUGCCCUCGUCCUGGGGUGGUACUCCAGUCAAUCGUGCAGAUCGACGAGUUCCUCUCAUCCUGUUUUCUGAAAAACAGUACACGUCACGUAGAACAUUAGCAUCAAAUGGUUCAUGUGCAAACACAUGAACCCGCAUCACAUACAUCACAUAUCAUAGCAUAACAUUAAUGCACAUGCAUAUAAUCAUGGCAUUUCACAUCAUCAUUCAAGACAGGACUCUUUAUCCCAUCCUAGUGGACAUGAUCUUCCUAUUGUGCUUGACCUUCCAUAACAUCUAUGAGCCCGACACUCUAGGUCCGACCAUAUGAACCUAGGGCUCUGAUACCACUCUGUAACGAUCCGAAAAUCCGGACCGCUACCGGCGCUAGAAUCCAGAUCGGCUUAAGGCCGCCGGGACCCGUAGCAAGCCAAACAUACAUCCUGUGAACCUGUUUAAUCCCAUACAUGAUCAACAUCAUAGAUAAAAAUUUGAACUUUUCUUUUUCAUUCAUGAACCAAACUCAACCUUUGCAUGCAUUAACAUAGACAUUAACAUUAACCCCACCUUGGAGUCCUCAUCAAAGCUCCAAUGGGGUGACAUAAUCAUGCAUUAAGUUUGGUUAAACAUAAUCAUCCAUAAACAUUUAAGAUCAUGUAUCUAAAAAGGGAUUUACAACAUACUAUGGUCAAGCACACUUCUAAACCUCAAUAUCAUCAUUACAUUACAUAACUCAACAUUUCAUUACAAUAUCCAUCAUGUCCACUACUAGCUAUUACAUGACCAAGACUUUACUCUAUCCGACCUCUUGCUCUAUCCUGUACCUGCAAACCUGGGGGUUAAGGGAGAGGGGUGAGCUAACAAGCCCAGUGAGUAGAACCAUAAAAACAUGUUAACAAACAUGCUCAUAUGAAAUGCAUCAUAACUCAGACAAAUUCACAUCAAGGGUUGGGUGAACUUGUCACCAAAUAGUCCCAGCAUCAUUUCGUGACAGGCCGUAGCAUGGGGUCCUAGUCUUCCUGUCAUAUCAUACAUUACUUACCAUUGCCCCAGGGCCUCCUCUGGGCACCUGGUCUUCGAGUCCCAUAUCCGUGCCAGGUCGUAGAAUGGGGUCCUGGUCUUUUAUUUCCGUGCUAGGCCGUAGAAUGGGGUCCUGGUCUUUCCUCAGGGACUAAUUGGGUCAUCCAACAUUGACCCACAUCAACAACAAAGAAUGCGAUGCAACAUAUUCGUGAAAUCUAAUGCAAUCAUUCUAUUGCAUAAUCAUGAUGCAUGAAACAUGAUAAAACAUUUAAUUUCUCAAUUUAAAAGAUUAAGUUCAGUUCCACUCACCUCUGGCUGACUCAGACAAACACCGAAGCAGCUGAACUCACUGCUGGGGUCCUUGGUUCCUCGGGCCCGAACCUACACAGGUGGACUCAAAUGAGGGACCUAACAUACAUAAACAUAACUCUAAGAACAUCCUCUAAAAACCCCCUGAAACACCUUAAAACAAUCAAAGAAUUCAUGCAAAGAAGGGCUGAACAGGGCACUUUCGGCGGCAGGUUCGGCGGCCGAAAGUCCCAGACAGAGACGAAACUCAUGUAUGUUCGACGGCACUUUCGGCGGCCGAAACUGCCCUCCAGAGACGAAAGUACUCUUUCGGGGGCAGGCUUCGGCAGCUGAAGGCUGCCUCCACAAGCGGAUUCGACGGCCGAAAGUCCAUUCUGUAAUACCCGGCUAGAGUCCGGCAUCGGAAUUCUACUUUUCGAUGGAGUUUCGGAUGCCGGAAGUCUCUAGAGGGUUCGAUUUAUGUUUUUCUAUCUUGUUUUGAUAUGUUCAUAAGUUUUAAAACAUAAGAAAAUGAGUUUUUGAGUGAAAUGAACCAAGGCAGAAAAGCCAGGUUCGGCCGCUGAAGUUGAGGUUCGGCCGCCGAACAUGCAUGGCUUUCGGUUUCACGUGUGGCCGCCGAAGGUGGUCUGGCCAGCCACCUAUAAAUGGCCCUCAGUCGGUUGAAACGAUAAGAUCACCGUUUCUUCGACCUGCUAAGGUGAAACCCUAUCCUUUUUAGAGUUUUCUUCAUGUUUUCAUUAAAUCAUGCAAAGAGUUGAGUGAGUUUUAUGUUAUUUUGAAGGUUUUGAGCUUUAAAUACAAAGUUGUGAAUUUUGGUGAGUUUGGAGGAGUUGUGCUUCAAAACUCCACGUUGGGAUCAUUCAUCUACUUGAUUUCGAAAGGUAAGUGAAGAUCCUGAGCUUGUUUUUAUGAUUUAUACUGGUUUUAUGGGGUUUAUGGAGAGAGUUGCAUGAAUAGGUUAAAAGAAGAGUUUUUUAUGAUUUUGUGAGAGAGGCUUGUUUAUGUGUUAUAAGUUUUGUGUUGUUGGGGUUUUCGGUAGUUUUUUACCCCUUUGAGCAUAUUCUUAGGUGUAUGCAAGUUGAGGAAGUGACGUGUGAAGUUGGAGAGGAGUUUGGUGCAUUUGGCGAGAGGCAGGGCAAGUUUCUGCCCUACUGAUGAACUCAGGUUCGGCCGCCGAAGGUACAUUCGGCCGCCGAACCCCUGAGGAGGUGAGAGGAGGUGACUUCGGCUGCCCAAGCUUGCCCCCGAGCUUUUGGACUUUCGGCUCUGGAGGGAAGUUCGGCCGCCGAAGGUUAGCGACUUUCGUCUCUGGAGAGGACUUUCGGCCGCCGAAUCUGCCGCCGAAAGUGUUCUGUCCAGCUUUUCUUUUGCAUGCUUUGCAUGAGUUUUAGAGUGAGUUUAAGGGGAUUCUUGGGGAGUUUCUUGGAGUUGCUCAUAAGCUAGGUUGGUCCCUCAUUUGAGUCUAUCUGUAUAGGUACAGACCAGAGGAACCAGAGAGAGCAGCAGUGAGUUCUGCUCCAGAGUUUUCAGAGCCUGCAGAGUCAGUCCAGUUAGCCAGAGGUGAGUGGAACUAAACUUAACGCUUUUAAUUGCACAAUGGAAUGUUUUAGCAUAUCUCAUGCAUCAUGAUUAUGCAAUAGGUUGAUUGCAUUCGUAUCCACGAAUAUGUUGCAUUGCAUAGUUAUUUGUUGAUGUGGGUGAAUGCUGAAUGAUCCAAUAGUCUCAGACAGGAAGUCCAGGAGCCUUUGACUACGCCCUGGCAGGUAUAAUAAAGACCAGGAGCCUUUGACUACGCCCUGGCAGUUAUAGUAAAGACCAGGAGCCUUUGACUACGCCCUGGCAAUGGUAAGCACAGAGGUGUUAUAUACACAUAUACAUAUAUGACAGGAAGACCAGGUGCUCGAUUCUACGCCCUGGCACAGAGUUACUG